RNAcentral lists this long non-coding RNA (2748 nucleotides) under Sorghum bicolor (sorghum). RNAcentral's name for it is "long non-coding RNA (SBIC_LNC018297)". Lineage: Eukaryota; Viridiplantae; Streptophyta; Magnoliopsida; Poales; Poaceae. The record is from RNAcentral.
GACCAUAUUUGUCAAAUAAAAACGAAAGUGCUAUAGUGUCAAAAUACAAAAAGUUUUUAGAUCUAAACAAGCCCUAGUCGGCGUGGCGACCUUCCUCGACGGCUCGAGGCAGCAGCCAUGGCUCGCACGUGGGUGCAGGCGCGAUGUGUCAGCCGUGCCCCUGCGCGGACGCAAGCGCACCUCAGAGCAAAGAUUAUAAAGAUUAUAGUGGGUUGUAAUGCAAAACCCUUGAAGAUGAGGGUUUUGCAUUUGAGGUUUGCAUUUGAGUAAUUUGCUAAAAAGCUUUAAAAGAGGUAUCCAACGGUUUUGCAUUUGGAGUUUGCAAUUUGGACAACUUGGCAAAUGAGAGAGCAAACUUGGUAAAAAUGUCAAGCUAUGGACGACUUUGCAAACCCAAUCGCUCAAGCAAAGUCACGCGCGAGAAAAGCGCGCGCGCCUGGAGACCUUCUAUUUUUAUCCUUUGCCAAGUCCAAAUGCCAAUUUCUUUGGAGAUGAUCUAUUUUUAUCCUUUGCAUUUUGUUAUAGGAGUUUGCAAAUAGCAACAAAUGCCAAGUCAAUUUGCCAAAGCCUUUGGAGAUGCUCUUAAAGCUGGCUAAAUAUUGAGAUGAAGAAGAAAAGAGAGGAGAAAGAAGAGAAACAGGCUAUAAGGUUAUAAACAGCUUAGACACAGGAACAAAAAAAACUUUGUGAGAAAUAUAAGUGAGACCAUAUAUUUAUAGUGAAUAACUAACUAUUAUAUGAGUAGACUAAAAUAAAGUAAUAAAAAACCUUACAGCCAAUAAAUAGAAUGUAUUAUUAAACUUGCUCUCAACUCCUCGCCGCCACCAUGCCUCGAUUCCAGCACCUCGACACUGGCGACCUCUCCAUGAUGUCUAUGGCAACAACAUGAAAGAGGAUCACAUGUGCGUCCCACGUGUCAUUCUCUACUAGCAUGGGUUUGAGAGGUCUAUUUUAGGUAGGCCUUGUUUAGUUCCUUUCCGAAAUUUUUUCGGUACAUUGUAGCAAUUUCGUUUGUUUGUGAUAAUUAUUGUCCAAUCAUGAACUAACUAGACUCAAAAAAUUCGUUUCGUAAAUUUCGAUCAAACUGUGCAAUUAGUUUUUAUUUUCGUUUAUAUUUAAUACUCUAUGCAUGCGUCUAAAGAUUCGAUGUGACGGAGAAUCUUGAAAAGUUUUUGGAUUUUGGGUGGAAGUAAACAAGGCCUUAGUUCACCCAAAAAACUAAAAACUUUUCAAGAUUCUCCAUCACAUCGAAUCUUGUGGCACAUGCAUGGAGUAUUAAAUAUAGAUAAAAAUAAAAACUAAUUACUCCCUCCAUAUAAAAAAGAAAGUCGUUUUAGGACAGAAUUUAGCAUACCAAGGAGAGAUUAAUUAGGAUGAAGUUUUUCCUGUUUUUCUCUAAUAAAUACAGCUUCACGUGCAUUCUUUUUAAGAAAGUUUCGUAGACCAACUGGCUAGCGACGACGUUUUUUCCGUAAUCCUGUUCCGAGGCAGAACGACGUUCUUUUUUUAUAUGGAGGGAGUAUGUAAAUUACUCAAUGAAUCUUUUAAGCCUAAUUACUUCAUAAUUAGACGAUAUUUGUCAAAUGAAAACAAAAACGCUACCGUGUCAAAAUCUAAUAACUUUUUGAUCUAAAUAAGGCUCUAGUUUCUCUAGAGAAAAAAUAAAAGAGUAGUAUUCACAUGGGUGGUUACCUAAACAGUAGAGGAGUGAUUUAAAAAAAUAGCAGAGGAUCGGUCUGGGAUUGCAUUGGAGGAGAUGCUGAUGGUGGAGGGGAGCUUGGCAGACAGCUAGAUACUCCAUACCUAUACUUCUAGGGCCUAGUUCAUCAAAAACCAAAAACUUUUCAAAAGUUCUCGUCACAUCAAAUCUUGCGGUAUAUGUAUAGAACAUUAAAUAUAGAUAAACAUAAAAACUAAUUAUAACUGUCCGUAAAUCGCGAGAUGAAUCUUUUAAGUCUAGUUAUUCUAUGAUUGGACAAUGUUUGUUAAAUAAAAAAUGGUACAGUAUCGAAAUCUAAAAUUUUUUCGGAUCUAAACAAGGCCUUGUUUAGUUCCCAAAAUAUUUUGUAAAAUUUUUCAUAUCAAAUUUUGAAGCACAUGCAUAAAGCUAAAUAUAGAUAAAAGAAAUAACUAAUUACAUAAUUUACCUGUAAUUUGCGGGACAAAUCUUUUGAAUCUAAUUAAUCUAUGAUGGAUAAUAUUUAUCAAAUAUAAACGAAUACUACUAUUUUUAUUUUGCAAAUUUUUUGAAAGUAAACAAAUGGCCUCCAAAAUCUUCACAUAACGCGCGCGCUGUGCACAACGUCGUCACGUACAGAAACGAUGCCGGGGAGGAGGAAGAAGAAGAACAGUGCACCGGCAAGGUUAGGGUUUGGGGUGUAGCUUGGGUACCUCCAAUGAACUCCGGGCUUAGAAGAGAAGGCCUUGGGGCGGCGGUUGGACGGGCGGUGUGAGACAACCAGUUGGCUUGACCAGUUGACCGCUUGAGCCGGCGAUGGGGGCGAGGACCGAGAGGAACAAGAUUUUUUUUCCUCCUAUAUAGGGAUUAGGUGAGGGCGGGGGUGGGCGGCGCAACGAUUCCGAUUCAGAUUAGGGGAAGGCGGGCUGGAGCGACGGAGGUGGUUGGCUGGCGGCGCGGCCAGCGGCGAGGGCGCCGCUGGCUGGGGGCGGCAGCGGGGGAGCAGAAUGGCUCCACAAAGAGGAAGAAUAGAGGAAGAACAGGGAAGAAGAAAGAACCCGUGCGCUGAU